Brienomyrus brachyistius is the source of this 926-nucleotide long non-coding RNA. RefSeq lists it as uncharacterized. The transcript has 4 exons. Lineage: Eukaryota; Metazoa; Chordata; Actinopteri; Osteoglossiformes; Mormyridae. The record is from RefSeq and is a predicted model, not a curated record.
GCACGGACUGACCCUUUCACAUUUUGCUAAUUGUGUACAGGCUGUGUUUUUAAGCCUGUUUAUAAAGAGCAUGCUGCUGCAGCAUUAACAGUUAACAGUUGUUAACAAUUAAUACUUUAUUUGUACUAGCAGUAAUUUCUGUAUGUUAUAUCUUAAAAUAACAGGAAGCUUGCAGAGAAUAUCAGUCCAGGGGAGUGGUCUGAAAUGAAUGGCUUUGAGUUGGAGGGGUUUCCAAGCCAAGACAAGACUUUGAGGUUGACUGUGGCAUCUACAUGUUGAUGGUAAGAUUCGUCAUUCAGAUAUUUUUGGACUGUCAAGAUGCUUUUGAGAAUAAGUCAUGAACAUUGACAUUUAUUUUUUAAUUGACAGUCUGCUUUAUAUGUGGUGCUGGAUGCUCCCUUUUAUUACACCAUAGUAAGUAGCUCUUUUUAGAGAGCAAUAAAGUAUGUGUGCAAAGAAGUCACUAAAUGACACUAAAUUGAUUUUUAAUAGUUAGACAUGCCGAAAUUGCGGAAAUGGUGGUGCCUGCUGCUAAUGGAAAACUUCGAUCUCCGAAGUUAUGGGAAGGUAUUUGCACACUGGACAAAGGAAUCAGAGGCUGUGCUGAGAGGUGAACAUGCACCUGUAUUCAGACUAAGAAAGCGCAAAUCUGUGGAACUUAGCCUGAAACCAGCAGAAGGGAUGUGCUGGAUGGAGACAACAUAGAAUCCAAGGAGCCAUUCCUCUUUGGUUUUCAGGUCCAAGAGGACAUGGAAUUAUUUUUACAGGCCUGUGUUGACCAGCGGGGCCUUCGGGUUAAUGCUGUCUGUUAUAAGAAUGAUUAAAUUACUGGCACAUGAGUGUGUUGAUUAUAAUUUUUUUAUUUCAUCCUGUUUGUUGUUGCCUUCUAAAUAAAUUUAACAGUUUAUUAAAUAUAAUUAUUACAU